Nomascus leucogenys (northern white-cheeked gibbon) is the source of this 168-nucleotide small nuclear RNA. Its record names the gene U1. It matches the Rfam family "U1 spliceosomal RNA". Rfam says of the family: U1 is a small nuclear RNA (snRNA) component of the spliceosome (involved in pre-mRNA splicing). Its 5' end forms complementary base pairs with the 5' splice junction, thus defining the 5' donor site of an intron. The record is from Ensembl. NCBI's taxonomy places the organism in Eukaryota, Metazoa, Chordata, Mammalia, Primates, Hylobatidae.
UCCCGUACCUGGCGGGGGACAGACCGUGGUUCAGGAAGGGGGUUCCCCCUGGAUGAGGCUAGUCCACCGCACUCUGGCUGCGCUCACCCCUGCGAUUUCCCCACACGCGGGGCCCUAGUCUGCGGUGGUGUUCGUGCUACCCGGGGGCUGGGUUCGCGUACGCUCCUG